CUGGGAGGAGGGGGUGCGGUUCCCCAAAACUGCCAUUGUUUGGUCAAAACAGAACAGUCGGGAGCUGUGGGAAGAAUAGCUGAAGAUCAAAUCCCUUUUCGGUGUCUUCCAAAUUGGAGGAUUCAACGCUCUCUCGGGAUGAUUGCUUGCUCUUGGGAAAGCCAGCCGCCAGAGACAGGAGGCAAACAGCCCUGGAGAGAAAUUGAGGCCUCCAGCCAAGAGCCAGUACCAGCUUGCCAGUCGUGUGAGUGAGCCACACUAGAAGCAUACCCUCGGUUCCCAGUCAAGCCAGCAGAUGACUGCAGUCUCUUGAGCAAUCCCAGACCAGACAGCUUGGCCAAGUCCAGCUCUCUGCUGUGGCCUGGGAAAGCAGUGGAAGAUGGCUCAAGUCCUUGGGCCCCUGCACCCACAUGGGAGACCAGGAAGAAGUACCCGGCUCCAUUGCAGCUGUUUGAGAAGGAAGACCUUUCUCUCUCUCUCUCUCUCUCUCUCUCUCUCUCUCUGUAACUCUACCUGUCAAAUAAAUAAAUAAAAAUCUUUUUUUAAAAAAUUUGUUGUUUAUCUUAUUGUAUUAAGUUCUGAGGGUUCUUUGUAUAUUCUGGAUACUUUACCCUUAUCUAACACAUGAUUUACAAAUAUUUUCUCCCAUUUUUAAGUUUGUCCCUUUGUUUCCCUAAAAUGUCCUUUGAUACAAAAAAAGUUUUAAAUUUUGAUGGAACCUAACUUUUUUCUUUUCUUGCAUAUGGUUUUGGUUUCAUACGCAAGAAUUCAUGGCUAGAGUGAAGUUCCUAAACAUUUAUCCCCUAGGACUCCUUCUAAGAGAUAUGCUGUUCUGUCCCUUCAUUUAGCUCUUUUAUCCAUUUUAAUUGUUGCAUAUGAUGUGAUGUAGGUGUCCAACUUCAUUCUUUUGCAUGUGUGUAUCUAGUUGUCCCGGUACCACUUGUUGAACCUAUUACAUUUCAAAAUGAAAUUUCAUGGCCGGCGCCGCGGCUCACUAGGCUAAUCCUCCGCCUUGCAGCGCCGGCACACAGGGUUCUAGUCGCGGUCGGGGCGCCAGAUUCUGUCCCGGUUGCCCCUCCUCCAGGCCAGCUCUCUGCUGUGGCCAGGGAGUGCAGUGGAGGAUGGCUCAGGUGCUUGGGCCCUGCACCCCAUGGGAGACCAGGAGAAGACCUGGCUCCUGCCAUCGGAUCAGCGGGGUGCGCCCGCCGCAGCGCGCCGGCCGCGGCAGCCAUUGGAGGGUAAACCAACAGCAAA
Molecule: non-coding RNA, 1254 nt
Organism: Oryctolagus cuniculus (rabbit)
Lineage: Eukaryota; Metazoa; Chordata; Mammalia; Lagomorpha; Leporidae
Source: RefSeq, a predicted model, not a curated record